RNAcentral lists this long non-coding RNA (611 nucleotides) under Musa acuminata (dwarf banana). RNAcentral describes it as "long non-coding RNA (MACU_LNC001158)". Lineage: Eukaryota; Viridiplantae; Streptophyta; Magnoliopsida; Zingiberales; Musaceae. The record is from RNAcentral.
GCACUGCAUCAUUACUACAAUAUGCCAAUGUAUUCUGAGGGUCUUACAGAAGUAGGAGUGAGCGUUGACAUCCCCAGAUGCAGAUGUCCCUAAGAGAGGAUCUGUAGAUCCUACAUCGAGGAGACCACAUAAAAUGGCAAGUGAUAAUGUCAAAGCUAUGAUCACUUCUUCUCUUCUCAUCUCAUGACAAGUGCUUAACGAGCAAAUCCUAUCACAAAAGUAGCAGACAAGUUCCUUGAUGGGUGCGCAAGAACACAUCUCCCCAUGUACUACUAACACAUAAAAUAAUCAGCACUGAGGAGAAUAUAUUGAGUUAAGAUGCUGCAAUCCCCAACAACAAAUACUUUCGGUUGCAUGUGAUUUCGGGCCUUGUGUUGAUGAGUACUGCUAAGCCUUCAACGUCUUACCUGUUGGAGCUCUACACAUACUUUAGCUUCUCUUCAUUUCCUGUGUUGUUCGCAAGAUGAAACCAAUUACUUGAAGCUCUUCGUUGUGUUGAUGAGUGCUGCUAAGCCUUCAACGUCUUACCUGUUGGAGCUCUACACAUGCUUUAGCUUCUCUUCCUUUCCUGUGUUGUUCGCAAGAUGAAACCAAUUACUUGAAGCUCUUCG